GACGUAGGGCGCGAGCGUUGUCCGGAUUUAUUGGGCGUAAAGAGCUCGUAGGCGGCUUGUCGCGUCGAAUGUGAACUCUCAGGGCUCAACCCUGACAUUGCAUUCGAUACGGGCAGGCUAGAGUUCGGUAGGGGAGACUGGAAUUCCUGGUGUAGCGGUGAAAUGCGCAGAUAUCAGGAGGAACACCGGUGGCGAAGGCGGGUCUCUGGGCCGAUACUGACGCUGAGGAGCGAAAGCAUGGGGAGCGAACAGG
Molecule: ribosomal RNA, 253 nt
Filed under: uncultured bacterium
Lineage: Bacteria
Description: partial 16S ribosomal RNA
Rfam family: Bacterial small subunit ribosomal RNA
Source: RNAcentral